Molecule: transfer RNA, 73 nt
Filed under: uncultured bacterium
Lineage: Bacteria
Description: tRNA-Glu
Rfam family: tRNA
About the family: Transfer RNA (tRNA) molecules are approximately 80 nucleotides in length. Their secondary structure includes four short double-helical elements and three loops (D, anti-codon, and T loops).
Source: RNAcentral
GGGGAAUCGUCUAGUGGUAGGACAACGGACUCUGGAUCCGUGAGCCUAGAUUCGAAUCCUAGUUCCCCAGCCA